This 353-nucleotide small nuclear RNA is filed under the name Fukomys damarensis (Damara mole-rat). RNAcentral's name for it is "7SK RNA". It matches the Rfam family "7SK RNA". From Rfam's summary of the family: 7SK was discovered as an abundant small nuclear RNA in the mid-70s but a possible function has only recently been suggested. Two independent studies have found that 7SK RNA binds the CDK9/cyclin T complex (known as elongation factor P-TEFb). The record is from Rfam by way of RNAcentral. Lineage: Eukaryota; Metazoa; Chordata; Mammalia; Rodentia; Bathyergidae.
GGAUGCGACGGCGAUCUGGCUGUGACAUCUGUCACCCCAUUGAGCGCCAGGGUUGACUGGGCUGAUCUGGCUGGCUAGAGGGCUGUCCCCUUCCUCCCUCCCCGCUCCUUGUAUGUCCCUCCAGAAGCUGCGUGCGCUCCGUGGAAGAGGACCACCACCCCGGAUAGAGCAGGACCUUUUCCUAGGUCAGCACUCCCCCAGCAAGCUCUCAAGAACUGAGACACAGCUCAUCCUCUUGGAUCUAGUACCUAGGCCCCAUUCCCAAGCUUCUUUCUCAGUGAUGUAAAUGAGCUCAUUACAGACCUCCUUAUUUGCACAUCAAGGUAACUAUCUGUGAGUUGCAGAUUUUAUCU